UAGGAACCCACUACCGUGUGUAUGCACGGAGCAUGUGAAAAGCAGUGCCUUAGUAGCUUGUGCUGAGAUGACAGCUUUGUGUUCUGCAGAAGUAAGGACCUGUGGUAUUUAUUUGACUUAAGGGACAAGGAAGAAGCUCCAUUAAAAGACUGCUGCUUUGUACAGUAAAGAUCUCUUGUACAUGGUACCUUCCAAACAGCUUGUUUGGCUUCCAGUAGCAGUCUAAAGGGGACAGAGGGGUCUGUUUUAGCCUCAUUUGAAAAUUCUCUUGAAAGCCCUUGCUUAUCCAUCACAAGCUGGUGAUACUUAGCGUGGACUGCGUACAGGGGCAGUUCUAAGAUGUCCAUAAGCACCUCAACCAAUUUUGUUUAGAAUUCCUCACAUCACAGUUGAUCACAUGUGAGAACAGCCCAUGCCUAAAGCUAUGUGUAUUAGAGAGAAGGAGAGAAGAAAUGUUAACUGUGGAGUAGGUUUACGUGGGGGGGGUGGAAAUCCCUGAUUCCUGUAAAGUUUGACAAAGGCAUCUUUCUGUUGUUUACCUUACCAGAUGUUUCCUAUUCCCAGUUGAAUGGUGUCCUCAGCCUUAAAAUGAUAGGUCACAUUUAAGUGAUGAACUAUUUUCAGUGCCUAAUCUGAAAGACCCAUUUGGGAUUUGAUGUUCAGAGACAGAUAAACAGCAGUUCUGCAAAUCAGCACCUCCUAAGGAAAACUGCUGUGGAGAGCCUGAACAUCUUGUGGUUUUAAAAGUGAUGAACUGAAAUUUUGGAGCGUGAGCUAAGCCCUUAUGUGACAGCAACAGUGAUUAAUUACUGCGUAUAUGCCUCUUUUGGGUUCUCCAUGCUGCAGAAAGGCAUGUAAAGUUUCUUUACAAGCUUCUAUUUUAAUAUUAAAAAUAUUUCCAAUACUUUUACAAAUCCACUUCAGCAUGGGGGUUUGGGUUUGGUUUGUUUUCUCAGAUUGCUAAACUGUUUUCUGAGUGCGAGCUGAGAGACCCGUAAUGCAGGUCUUGGCACGUCCCUGUGGCAUUUGUUGUACUGUGUGUGUGCCUGGGCACGCUACCGAGGAGCAGCAGAGCAUGAUACCGUGACUGGUUUGGCUUUUUUAUCCCAAGCGAUACAACCCUGAGCAAAUGGUUAGGGUAGCUCCUGCAGGGAGAAGUGUUGAGAGAGACCCCAACAAAAUGUGUGUUUAUUGUAAGGAGCUAGAUUGAAAUGACCUUGCUUAGCUUUCAGUAGCAAUCUUGCCAGGACAGAGUUCAGCUCAGGUUCAUUUAAAAUUAGGUCUCAGGUAGGCUGAGUUUGUGUGACUAAAACAAUGAUUUUCAGGUGCUGGCCUAAUGCGUCCCAGCAUCUAGGAGCUGAACUCAAGCUUUAAGACUGAAACUAAGGUCCUGCCUGUGCAGUCCCAACCAUGGUGUUUCCUACUUGAGACCUCAAUCAAGAGGAUAUGGGAGUUGCCAGGAGUAUUGAAUCCUGCAAGAAGGGGCUUUAAACAAGGUAUUCACAGUUUCAGAUGUUGCAAGAUUUGCUGGGGUAUGCUCUUCUAUUUCCUUUCUUUCAGUUUACCACUUCUGUUUGUGGGGAGCACCCAGCCUAGUUCCGUGUGCGUCCUUUCCUGUGCCAGAUAAUGGGCAUGACCAGCUUUCUGUGCCCAAGCAGAGCUUGGAAGCAGUUCUGGGAAACGGGCAUCCUUGCUUCUGAGGGGGUGAGAGCCGGUGAAAGGGAAAUUUGGGGGCUCCACCUCUUCCCUUAUUCCUGUGCCAAAAGUGAUGUGAGAGUUUGUUACACUGUCACCCUUGCAGGGAUGUGGCCUCCAGGACAAACAGAAGAGGUAUGACCUCAUUCAGCUGUACUCCCUCGCAAUGAAACACCGUAAACAAGGACUGCCUGUACAUGAUACUUCUCAUUAAUCUAAACAUAGCUAAUAAAAAAGAUGUGCAAGGCCCUCUAAAAACUGUUCAGCAAAACAUCAGAGCCAAAAGCCUCAUUAGCAAGCUCUUAACUAACAUGUUUCUCAUUUUGAAAAGAAGCUCAGAAAAUGCCCAGUGAAAAAGUCAUGCAGCCUUUUUCCUUAACUAUUGAAUGGUCAUUAAAAUCAUAGUUGCCCUGUUUAAAGAAUUGGAAGUGUAUUUCUCAACGUGACUAAGCUAAAAUGCAUUCACAGCAGCCCUAUGCCACUCCUGUCAAGUAACGCCAGCAGCAGAGUGAGCACUGGAUGAGUUUUGCUGUCAAUAGUGUCAGCUCAAGCAUUGCUUUCUUUGCUUAUUUUUCUCUUGACCUCACACCUAUUCACUUGUGCUGGUAACCCAGUCAAAAGUUGACAUAACAGGCUUGAUUGCUCUGGGACUUGGAAUAACUCAGCAAAAAGGUUUGCAAUCUCAUUCACUUGUGAGGUGGCACAGCAUCAGCAGGAAGAAACAGAGAUCACUCAGUGCUGAGAGAAGGGCUUUUCAGUUUUUCUUUACUGUUAUUUCACCCUGUUUCUUAUAGGGCUCAUUUUUCAGUGUACAAAUAAGGUCAAUUUAAAAGCAGUAUUAUGAAGGUAUUCUAUGUUGAAUGUGCCUGGUCUAUUCAGUGUUAAUGUUCAAGUAGUGAAUAAACUAGUCCUUGCUUGAUGAGACAACUGCACAAUAUUAUCUAAGUCUUAAAAGGAGAAGAGUUCCCAAUUAACAGAAGCCUCAAGACUUUGAAGCUUAACUCCUGCUGAGAUCCUAGGCUGCCGCUCUAGCAAGGACAUCUUAUUAAGAGAGUGAUAAAAAUUUGACUGCGUUUCAUGGUAAAAUCUUACAACAUUUAAUAAAAAUAUAUGCCUAUCUACAAAAUACUUUGUCUUGUUUGAUUUCUUCCCUAUUUUACCUCUUUUUCUUUCUGUCCACAUUCUCCAAACCUAGGAAGUGAGGCUAGUGAAUGCUGGUGCGUAUUACCCAUGCUCAUUGAACUUGGCAUGGGAACAGCUGUUACAAACUGCUGUUGUAGUCCUGAUACUAUGCAUAGUCCUAUUUAUUGUUUCACUUUUGUCUGAAGUUUUGUUACAGACAGAGGGUUUGUUUGUGAAUUCCUUCUUGAGAUCUGUAGAGGGUGGGGACUCAGCAUGUUAUUUAUCUGCCAGAAAUACUUGGACACAUCCUUCAAAUGUUCUGUUGCCUUAGGCUUCUUGCAGCUGCUUUUUUCCUACACCUACUUUCACUACUUAUUGUGUUGUGUUUUUCUUUCUUUCUGAUUCAUUAUGGAAUGUCAAUUUAACACUCAUGUAGACCACAUGGAAUUAUUUACUAAUGAAUGUAAACUCCCUUGUUAGACAAGGUGCUGAUUGAUGAGAUGACCUGGCAAUUUGUGUACUUCUCACAGAGCUCUUGUGAAUUAGGUAAAUUCAAUUCCUUUCUUUUACUGAUAGAAACAAGAAGACACCAGUUAUCAAGUCCUAAUCCAGCGCAAAUUAAAAACAGUAUUUUAUUGAUGUUAUUUUCCACCUCCUAUCUCUUUAAUUUUUUAUACCACCACUGGGUCUCCUUUGUAUGAUCUGAAGCAGACAAUGGAUAAAUAUCCUAAUGAAGAUAUCUGUCAACAUGACAAAUGCCAACUAUUAAAAGAGCAUGCGUAAUACAGGAUAAAAUGUUAGCAACUCAUACGUUUAAGUUGACCACUGUCCUUUAAUGCCAGUUUGCUCUGUGCUACUUGAAAGCAGCAUAUUGAGAAAUAAAUCACUUCUGUUAACCCACCGUCACCAAACAGAUCUGGCAAUUAUACUAUAGUGUUACUGAAAUGGAAUAAAAACACCUUGUUUUAUACCUGGUUGGAAAUGCAUUUUGGAAAUUUUAAAAAGCCUGCUUUAGGCUAUAUGAACCCUUCCCCCCAAGCCCUUAAGAUCACCAAUCAUCUGAAAAAAAUCCUAAUCAAAUAACAGGAUAAAUAACUUUUUAGAAUAAUGGAUCCAGAACACUUAUAUAAAUCAUUAAUUGGAAUACUGGAGUGAAGAUGUAAUUCCCUUAAAAUCACAUCGAUGCUGCAAAAAUGCAUUAAAAAUGCUCUUUCAACUAUGUAAUCUUUUAUCAGGUAAACUUUUCCUUUUUGCUCAGCAGCCAAACAAUUGUGUCCUGCAUAGGAUAAUUGAGGGUUGUGUGGGUAAAAUUGGCCUAAACGUUGCAAAUUUUAGCAUAAUUGCACCUAAGUUUUGAUUGCCUGGAAGAAUCCAGAUCUUUAGUGUUGUUCCUAAAUUUUCUGUGACAUAAGUGAGGCAAUUAUACUGGAAACCUACUGAACAGAUAGUUACUUAAAGUAGGCCCUAAUAAAAGUUGAUGUGUGUUUUAAAUUACUUUUCAUACAUCUUUUGGCAGAUGCACAUUGAGAGGUGCUCCAUUUCCCUCCAAUUUCUGUACUCUGAACCUGCCAAAAGUAGGUACCCAAGUCUUGAUU
Long non-coding RNA from Oxyura jamaicensis (ruddy duck), 4412 nucleotides. RefSeq lists it as uncharacterized. The record is from RefSeq and is a predicted model, not a curated record. Lineage: Eukaryota; Metazoa; Chordata; Aves; Anseriformes; Anatidae. The transcript is spliced from 2 exons.